AGUAAAUAGAUACCCGGGUAGUCCACGCCGUAAACGAUGUCGACUUGGAGGUUGUGCCCUUGAGGCGUGGCUUCCGGAGCUAAACGCGUUAAAGUCGACCGCCUGGGGAGUACGGCCGCAAGGUUAAAACUCAAAUGAAUUGACGGGGGCCCGCACAAGCGGUGGAGCAUGUGGUUUAAUUCGAUGCAACGCGAAGAACCUUACCUACUCUUGACAUCCAGAGAACUUAGCAGAGAUGCUUUGGUGCCUUCGGGAACUCUGAGACAGGUGCUGCAUGGCUGUCGUCAGCUCGUGUUGUGAAAUGUUGGGCUAAGUCCCGCAACGAGCGCAACCCUUAUCCUUUGUUGCCAGCGGUUAGGCCGGGAACUCAAAGGAGACUGCCAGUGAUAAACUGGAGGAAGGUGGGGAUGACGUCAAGUCAUCAUGGCCCUUACGAGUAGGGCUACACACGUGCUACAAUGGCGCAUACAAAGAGAAGCGACCUCGCGAGAGCAAGCGGACCUCAUAAAGUGCGUCGUAGUCCGG
RNAcentral lists this ribosomal RNA (525 nucleotides) under uncultured bacterium. RNAcentral describes it as "bacterial SSU rRNA". It matches the Rfam family "Bacterial small subunit ribosomal RNA", at positions 775 to 1296 of the family's 1533-position model. The record is from RNAcentral.